AUAGAUGCCAUGAAGGCCCUGAUAGAGACAAAGGCAAAAAAGAAUUCAAUCAGGAAUGAUUUUGGUCCAGAUUUGGGACUAAAACUAGAUGUUUCUCCUUAUUUACCUGAUAAAGGAUGAUUAAGCCUUUAUUGACACAGGCACAGAGAAGCGGAGUGCUGCUUGUGGACAAAAAAAUCGUAAGAACUGAGAUAGGAGUUCUUCUUCGCCUCUCACAUCCAAACAUUAUAAAACUUAAAGAGAUAUUUGAAACCCCUACAGAAAUCAGUCUGGUCCUAGAACUCGUCACAGGAGGAGAACUGUUUGAUAGGAUUGUGGAAAAGGGAUAUUACAGUGAGCGAGAUGCUGCAGAUGCCGUUAAACAAAUCCUGGAGGCAGUUGCUUAUCUACAUGAAAAUGGGAUUGUCCAUCGUGAUCUCAAACCAGAGAAUCUUCUUUAUGCAACUCCAGCCCCAGAUGCACCACUCAAAAUUGCUGAUUUUGGACUCUCUAAAAUUGUGGAACAUCAAGUGCUCAUGAAGACAGUAUGUGGAACCCCAGGGUACUGCGCACCUGAAAUUCUU
This 563-nucleotide small RNA is filed under the name Pan troglodytes (chimpanzee). RNAcentral describes it as "processed transcript". Lineage: Eukaryota; Metazoa; Chordata; Mammalia; Primates; Hominidae. The record is from RNAcentral.